GACGAACGCUGGCGGCGUGCUUAACACAUGCAAGUCGAACGGAAAGGCCCUGCUUGCAGGGUACUCGAGUGGCGAACGGGUGAGUAACACGUGGGUGAUCUGCCCUGCACUUCGGGAUAAGCUUGGGAAACUGGGUCUAAUACCGGAUAGGAGCCAUCUUUAGUGUGGUGGUUGGAAAGUUUUUUCGGUGUAGGAUGAGCUCGCGGCCUAUCAGCUUGUUGGUGGGGUAAUGGCCUACCAAGGCGGCGACGGGUAGCCGGCCUGAGAGGGUGUACGGCCACAGGGGGACUGAGAGAGGGCGCAGACGGCUGCGGGAGGCAGCAGGGGGGAAGAGUGCAGAAUGGGCUGGAGCCUGAUGAAGCAACGCAGCGUGCGGGAUGAGGGCUUACGGGUGGGAAACCGAAUGAGCCUGGGAAGAAGGGUGAGGGAGGGUAAUGGGUAAAGAAACAAAGGCGAACUAGGUG
This 464-nucleotide ribosomal RNA is filed under the name uncultured bacterium. RNAcentral's name for it is "partial 16S ribosomal RNA". It matches the Rfam family "Bacterial small subunit ribosomal RNA", at positions 28 to 507 of the family's 1533-position model. The record is from RNAcentral.